GUCCUAGGAGGGGUGGGUGUGGUUGUUUGACAGUGCGAACCCUUUUGGUGAGUUCUGAGGACCGGCAGCCACGGGCUGGGGGUGUCAGGGCCGCCUGGACCUGAUCUCACGUCCCAGGCGCCAUAUUUGGUCUUCCCAGGGGCCACAUUGGUGAUGUUCCGCUUAGUGUUUUAACAGAAGUACUAACUAUUUAUCAUGAUCCGGAAAUGUUCCCAGUAAAUGAAUGUUAUCUGUGGCUUGUAGCAGUGCUUGGAAAAAAGUACAUUCUAGGGGCGCCUGGGUGGCUCAGUCGGUUGAGCAUCCGACUUCGGCUCGGGUCAUGAUCUCACGGUUUGUGAGUUUAAGCCCCUCAUCGGGCUCUGUGCUGACAGCUCAGAGCCUGGAACCUGCUUCAGAUUCUGUGUCUCCCUCUCUCUGCCCCUCCCCCACUAGUGCUCUCCUUCUCUCUCUCUCUCUUUCACUCUCUGUCUCGCUGUCUCAAAAAUAAACAUUAAAAAUAAAUUUUUUUUAAAUUAAAAAAAAGAAAGUACGCUCUCCACUUGGAAAGAAAAUCCAGGCCAAGAAAAUGGUAUUAUCAGGUGGGGUUUGUUCUCAGUCCCUUUCCUCUGUGGAGGGGGGCUAUAGGGGUUGUGAGGGGAAUGAGGUGGGUGCAGUCAAAGGGGUCCUCAGUGUGGCCUUGGCAAUGGAGUUGAGACCUGCACUCCCUGAGUUUACUGAGGCCUUGCUUUGACUCGAGCAGAAGUCAGAAUCCAGCAGGAUAUAGAACAGUUGGUAACGAGCGCUGCUGCGGGACUGGGUGUCAGUGUCUUGCACAUUCAUGUGACAGCUGAGACAGAGGCCUGAGGUCCAGCCCUCUCUUGGCUGCCCUUGGCCCUUUGUAGGGUUUUUGUUUUAAAUAAAUGAUGUUGUCGCAGUUUAAUCGUGAACUUGGCAACAAUGUAACCACAUCUUUUUCAAGACUGAAACCAAAAAUGGUUUAAAAGGCACUAGGUGUUGUUGUCACUGGCUUUCCUUUACCUCUCCUGUUUGUUUUCUCCCUCUUUCCUGUGUCGGAUGAUGGUGUAAAUAGCUCCCUUUGUCCAGUGGAACAAAGAAAAAAACCUGAUGGAAAAGACUGAGAAAAUUCAUCAUUUGAACCAUCUGAAAGUAUCCAGUUCCGCGGCAGGAAGCACAUCUGCAGUCUGGUGUCACGACCGCCUCCGCCUGGUUCCAGAACCCCGUGUUACCCGGAACAGGAACCCCACACUCCUCUCCCCCGCCACCAGCUCCUGACAACCACUUACCAGCUUUCUGUUUCUGUUCUUUUGGCUCUUCGGGGUCGCUGAAGUGUCACCUGAACUUGAGGGUUCAGCCAGCUGGGAUUCUGAUAGGGAUUGCCUUGAAUCUGAUCAAUUCGGGAAGUAUUAACACAGGCCUUCUCCUGUGGGCUUGUCCAGCCGCAGCCCUGACGUUUGUGCAGUUUAGCGCCCCACGCGCCGGUGGCCCGAAUCGGCAUCGUCCCCGGGUCUGAGGCCUGCCUGGGGCCUUCUGUCAGCCCUGUUCUGCUGAGGCUGAAACUCCCACAGCCACUAGCGUCUGGUCUCUGCUUCGGGGCCAGUCCGGACAAGGCCUUUGAAUUGGGAUCCCAAGCGGACGGGCGGCUUUCCUUCCGCGGCGGCACAGCAGAGACCCUGUGAGUCCAAGCGCAAGGCUUUCCCCGCCCUCAUUAGCGUCUGUCCAGGGGUCAGAGCCCGCCUGCUCACAGAGACACGCCUCAGGCCAGAGAGUCACCGCCAAGGGCUCAUCAGCCGCCCCACCAGCUUGUCAGACUCAAGUGUGUCUCCGUUUGCAGGGAGCGCCUGUGUCCCCAGAGGCUCCAGUAGGGGAAACGAUGGUAAAAAGCCAUCAUUUAGGGAGACUCGAGUUUCCAAUACUCGGAGCUUAAAUUCUGACCCUCCCACUGGCUGCACGACACGAGGCUGUGGGGUUCCACUAAUGCUUUUUCUUGGCACUUUUUCUGAGGGGGACGAUCCCUUUAGCAUUUAUGAAGUUACCAGCAUUUAACGUUUUGUAUCAAUAUUUUACUACACAGGUGGAUGCAGUAGCCACAAAAUAAAGUCGUUACAAAAAUUC
Panthera uncia (snow leopard) is the source of this 2112-nucleotide long non-coding RNA. RefSeq lists it as uncharacterized. The transcript is spliced from 4 exons. The record is from RefSeq and is a predicted model, not a curated record. NCBI's taxonomy places the organism in Eukaryota, Metazoa, Chordata, Mammalia, Carnivora, Felidae.